This 223-nucleotide non-coding RNA is filed under the name Corchorus capsularis. The record is from RNAcentral. Lineage: Eukaryota; Viridiplantae; Streptophyta; Magnoliopsida; Malvales; Malvaceae.
ACCGAGCUUGGUGACGCUAGCUUGUAACUCGAGUGAGGGUAUUAAGGUGGCUUAGGGGUGAAAGACUAUCGGUCACUAGCCUGAUGUGGCGGCGGGCUGAAUUUGACGGGACUCUUGGUUGAGACAUUGAGGAAUCAGUUCCCUUGUGUCUUGUGUCUAGUCAAACGGUCUAGUGUCCCAAUGGCCAGUGAUUAAUAGGCCCGUCAUCUCCACCUCCACCUUU